RNAcentral lists this ribosomal RNA (1443 nucleotides) under uncultured organism. Its description in RNAcentral is "SSU rRNA". It matches the Rfam family "Bacterial small subunit ribosomal RNA". The record is from RNAcentral.
CGCUAGCUACAGGCUUAACACAUGCAAGUCGAGGGGCAGCAUUUUAGUUUGCUUGCAAACUGAAGAUGGCGACCGGCGCACGGGUGAGUAACACGUAUCCAACCUGCCGAUAACUCCGGAAUAGCCUUUCGAAAGAAAGAUUAAUACCGGAUAGCAUACGAAUAUCGCAUGAUAUUUUUAUUAAAGAAUUUCGGUUAUCGAUGGGGAUGCGUUCCAUUAGUUUGUUGGCGGGGUAACGGCCCACCAAGACUACGAUGGAUAGGGGUUCUGAGAGGAAGGUCCCCCACAUUGGAACUGAGACACGGUCCAAACUCCUACGGGAGGCAGCAGUGAGGAAUAUUGGUCAAUGGGCGAGAGCCUGAACCAGCCAAGUAGCGUGAAGGAUGAAGGCUCUAUGGGUCGUAAACUUCUUUUAUAUGGGAAUAAAGUUUUCCACGUGUGGAAUUUUGUAUGUACCAUAUGAAUAAGGAUCGGCUAACUCCGUGCCAGCAGCCGCGGUAAUACGGAGGAUCCGAGCGUUAUCCGGAUUUAUUGGGUUUAAAGGGAGCGUAGGUGGAUUGUUAAGUCAGUUGUGAAAGUUUGCGGCUCAACCGUAAAAUUGCAGUUGAAACUGGCAGUCUUGAGUACAGUAGAGGUGGGCGGAAUUCGUGGUGUAGCGGUGAAAUGCUUAGAUAUCACGAAGAACUCCGAUUGCGAAGGCAGCUCACUAGACUGUCACUGACACUGAUGCUCGAAAGUGUGGGUAUCAAGCAGGAUUAGAUACCCUGGUAGUCCACACAGUAAACGAUGAAUACUCGCUGUUUGCGAUAUACAGUAAGCGGCCAAGCGAAAGCAUUAAGUAUUCCACCUGGGGAGUACGCCGGCAACGGUGAAACUCAAAGGAAUUGACGGGGGCCCGCACAAGCGGAGGAACAUGUGGUUUAAUUCGAUGAUACGCGAGGAACCUUACCCGGGCUUAAAUUGCAACAGAAUAUAUUGGAAACAGUAUAGCCGUAAGGCUGUUGUGAAGGUGCUGCAUGGUUGUCGUCAGCUCGUGCCGUGAGGUGUCGGCUUAAGUGCCAUAACGAGCGCAACCCUUAUCUUUAGUUACUAACAGGUCAUGCUGAGGACUCUAGAGAGACUGCCGUCGUAAGAUGUGAGGAAGGUGGGGAUGACGUCAAAUCAGCACGGCCCUUACGUCCGGGGCUACACACGUGUUACAAUGGGGGGUACAGAAGGCGGCUACCUGGUGACAGGAUGCUAAUCCCAAAAACCUCUCUCAGUUCGGAUCGAAGUCUGCAACCCGACUUCGUGAAGCUGGAUUCGCUAGUAAUCGCGCAUCAGCCAUGGCGCGGUGAAUACGUUCCCGGGCCUUGUACACACCGCCCGUCAAGCCAUGAAAGCCGGGGGUACCUGAAGUACGUAACCGCAAGGAGCGUCCUAGGGUAAAACUAGUAAUUGGGG